Molecule: long non-coding RNA, 586 nt
Organism: Hyla sarda
Lineage: Eukaryota; Metazoa; Chordata; Amphibia; Anura; Hylidae
Exons: 3
Source: RefSeq, a predicted model, not a curated record
UUCACUCUGUCGCAGUACGCACGCGCCGCUUGGCAACUGCGAUGCGUCCCAUGUGAUCUUGUUCUUCCCCCUGAUUGGUGUACCCUCGUCUCCUCUGCUAGGGCUGCUGCGCAGCCUCUAUUCCACACACACGCCGCUCUGGCGUUCUAUCGCCAUGUUUACAGCAUGUACAGGUCACUAUCCAUCUGGCUCCACUGUGAUCUCCUUGUAUGAUAAUACAAGUACAACAAAGAAAUAGUAAAUCUUUAGUUCUAACUGUGGGACUUUGAAUACACGAACACAAUUUUUCUUUCACGGGAUGACUCAGCAAACAAUUCACAGCUUUUGACUACCAGACUUGCUGCUCUGUAACAUGGUAAUGAUUCUUGAUGACGCCGAGGAAGAAGAGGCCUUCUCAAUAAUAACGCUCCUAGCACCCCACAGGAAGACACUCAUUAUGCAUUCUAAUUAAAAAAGCCAUGGGAGAUUCUAUCACAGAGCUCACUGUACUAAAAAUUGAUUUUGCUCACUGGGCUUGGAAAGGAAGAUGGUACCGGUUGUUAACUCUCCCUUUGUAAUUAUAAUCCUACUAAUAAAAUAAAUUAAC